This 86-nucleotide transfer RNA is filed under the name Roseovarius sp. 22II1-1F6A. Its description in RNAcentral is "tRNA-Leu". It matches the Rfam family "tRNA". Rfam says of the family: Transfer RNA (tRNA) molecules are approximately 80 nucleotides in length. Their secondary structure includes four short double-helical elements and three loops (D, anti-codon, and T loops). Lineage: Bacteria; Pseudomonadati; Pseudomonadota; Alphaproteobacteria; Rhodobacterales; Roseobacteraceae. The record is from RNAcentral.
GCGGACAUGGUGGCAUGGUAGACACCGGAGACUUAAAAUCUCCUGCUCAAUCGAGCGUGCGGGUUCGAGUCCCGCUGUCCGCACCA